RNAcentral lists this transfer-messenger RNA (368 nucleotides) under Bacteroidota (CFB group bacteria). RNAcentral's name for it is "PH2015 sp014654705 Standard tmRNA". It matches the Rfam family "transfer-messenger RNA". From Rfam's summary of the family: Bacterial tmRNA, also known as 10Sa RNA or SsrA, is named for its dual tRNA and mRNA-like properties. Its role is to liberate the mRNA from a stalled ribosome. RNAcentral also lists the same sequence under 1 other name. Lineage: Bacteria; Pseudomonadati. The record is from RNAcentral.
GGGGAUGCAAUGGUUUCGACAGGGUGUUGAUAUGGCGUAUGAUGCGUGUCGUGCUUCGCCGGUGGUGCACGUAAAUUCAACUGGCAACAUUCAAGUGGCAACACUUACUCCUACGCAAUGGCUGCUUAAUUUAGAGUAACCAUUACGCAUCCGCCUAACGUGUAUCUGUUCGGGUUAGUUGCGGGUGUAAAACUUAAACAGAGCGAUGUGUCGGCGUGGAACAGGCUUACACAUUCGACUUUCUGCUUCUAGCAAUUGUCUGCCUGUCGUUUGGCGAAGACAAAAGCGAAUGCCAUAAAGCGACUACACACGUAGUGUCUGCGUUGUACGCACUUUGGACGCGAGUUCGAUUCUCGCCAUCUCCACCA